GGUUCGGUGAUCUUGGGGUAUGAUUCUCGCUUAGGGUGCGAGAGGUCCCGGGUUCUAGUCCGGCCGAACCC
RNAcentral lists this transfer RNA (71 nucleotides) under Caerostris extrusa. RNAcentral describes it as "tRNA-Pro". Lineage: Eukaryota; Metazoa; Arthropoda; Arachnida; Araneae; Araneidae. The record is from RNAcentral.